UUUUUGGAGAUAAAAUUUUGGAUAAUGAGUUUACUUAUUUUAAGUUGAUAAUGAACAGUUUAAAUUAAGCUUAAAGUCUUAUUAUUAUUUUAAAGUUUUAUCUGGUUAAUAAAAUAAAUGAUAGGAGGUCUUGAAUUUAUUUUAUUAAAAAAAUUAUAAAUAGAUUAAAGUACUUAGUUAAUACCGGCUAAAAACGUGCCAGCCGCCGCGGUUAGACGAGAGGUGUAAAAUAAGAUUAAUAUUAAAAUAGAAAUGAUUUAAUAAUUCAUAAAUUUAUAUGUUAUAUUUAGGUAAAAUUAAUAUGGUUAAAAAUUUAUUUUUUUUAUUUUUAUAAGAUUAGGUUAAAAACUAGGAUUAGAUACCCUAUUAUUCUAAUUAAAAAUAUUUUAAGGAGUAGACUUGGUAGGAAAAUUAAAAAUUUUGGCGGUAUUUUAUCCUAACAGAGGAAUUUGCCCUAUAAUUGAUAGUCCCCAUUAUAUCUCACUUUAUUAAAAGUUCAUAUACCGUUGUUGUUCAGAUUACUUUUAAGAAUUUUAGUUUUCUAAAUAGUUUAAGCUAUUACUUCAAAUCAAGGUGUGGUAAAUAUUAGAGCUUGAGGUGAAUUACAAUAAGUUAAUUUUUGGAUUAAUUUAUGCAUAUAUUUUAUUAAAUAGGAUUUGUUAGUAAAGUUAAAUUAAUAUGUUAAUUUGAAAUAGGCACUAGAAUAUGCACAUAUCGCCCGUCACUCUAACUUUUAAAUUAGAUAAGUCGUAACAAAGUAGAUUUAAGGGAACUUGAAUCUAGAAAG
RNAcentral lists this non-coding RNA (787 nucleotides) under Oligolophus tienmushanensis. Lineage: Eukaryota; Metazoa; Arthropoda; Arachnida; Opiliones; Phalangiidae. The record is from RNAcentral.